GACAGAGGGUGCAAACGUUGCUCGGAAUCACUGGGCGUAAAGCGCGUGUAGGCGGACAAUCAAGUCAGGUGUGAAAUCCCCGGGCUCAACCUGGGAACUGCAUCUGAGACUGGUUGUCUUGAGUAUCGGAGAGGGAAGCGGAAUUCCUGGUGUAGAGGUGAAAUUCGUAGAUAUCAGGAGGAACACCGGUGGCGAAGGCGGCUUCCUGGACGAUUACUGACGCUGAGACGCGAAAGUGUGGGUAGCAAACAGG
This 253-nucleotide ribosomal RNA is filed under the name uncultured bacterium. RNAcentral's name for it is "partial 16S ribosomal RNA". It matches the Rfam family "Bacterial small subunit ribosomal RNA", at positions 524 to 776 of the family's 1533-position model. The record is from RNAcentral.